This 494-nucleotide ribosomal RNA is filed under the name uncultured bacterium. RNAcentral describes it as "partial 16S ribosomal RNA". It matches the Rfam family "Bacterial small subunit ribosomal RNA", at positions 28 to 507 of the family's 1533-position model. The record is from RNAcentral.
GACGAACGCUGGCGGCGCGCUUAACACAUGCAAGUCGAACGGAAAGGCCUGCUUUCCCUUGUGGAUUGCGGGUACUCGAGUGGCGAACGGGUGAGUAACACGUGAGUGAUCUGCCCCCAACUUGGGUAUAAGCCUGGGAAACUGGGUCUAAUUCCCGAUAGGACUGCAGGGUGGUGCCUGUGGUGGAAAACGAUUUUCUAGUGGUUGGGGAUGAGCUCGCGGCCUAUCAGCUUGUUGGUGGGGUAAUGGCCUACCAAGGCGGCGACGGGUAGCCGGCCUGGGAGGGUGGACGGCCACAUUGGGACUGAGACACGGCCCAGACUCCUACGGGAGGCAGCAGUGGGGAAUAUUGCACAAUGGGCGGAAGCCUGAUGCAGCGACGCCGCGUGGGGGAUGACGGCCUUCGGGUUGUAAACUCCUUUCGACCGCGAGGAAGCCACCUGGUUGGAAGGGUGGUGACGGUAGUGGUAGAAGAAGCACCGGCUAACUACGUG